Long non-coding RNA from Mustela putorius furo (domestic ferret), 1950 nucleotides. The record is from Ensembl. Lineage: Eukaryota; Metazoa; Chordata; Mammalia; Carnivora; Mustelidae.
AAUGCAGGCAUUUGAGGAUCCGGGAGAAAGGGAAUGACCAAGGAAGCAAGGCUCUGGGGAGGUGGAAGGGGUCAGGAUCCAGAUCAGAACAGUUCGGCUCUGAAUAACACGAAGGCGACGCCAUCCCGAGAGAAGAGCGAAGAAGAAGUAGAAAAGAGCCCAGGCUUCAGGUGGAGCGAUCCUGCUCAUGCCCGGGGAGAAAACCUCGGUCCCCUACACUUCUGUGCUCCAAUGAACCCUUCUCCACCCGCACCCGCACCCCAACGCAGAGGGAACAACAUCCUGAUGGGAGGUGCUUACCUGAGACUCCACCUGGAUCACAAGCGGCGUCUCCUCUGUCUCCAAGGAAAGAGACGCAUCGGGUCGUAGGCCCGCUUGGAGAGCGCUCCCACGCAGCACAUGGAUUUGUGGCUUCCAAGUUGCCCCAGCUUCUCCUGCGCUGCUGUACCGCGGCUGGUGCGCACAGAGAGACGAUCCCUCAGGGAUGUAACUGUCCCUCAGAACAACGGAUUACUUAAAAUAUAACCCCUGGGAAAUUUUACUGGUUACCAAGCACAUUUAGAUGUAGCCUCCAGAACACACACUGGCAACAGGCCGCUGGAGGAGAGGACAGUAUAUAUACAGCCUUGAAGCCCAGCAGCUGGAACACCCGGCCCGCUCAGGACUGACCUCCGCCUCCUUCAUUUUCCCGUUAGAGCCCCCUGCCCCAGAGCACCUGCAGCUAAUUAGAUAAGUCCUUUGAACGUGCUUGCUCAGCUAUAAACUUUAUACGGCUUGACCAGACAUAUUUUGCCUUCCUUCUUGUUGAUCUACAAGGCCUAUGAUCAGCGUUUAGCCUUCUUCGGCUCUUCUGCUGAUUACUGUCUGUAUCUAAUAAAAACGGGACUGAGGAGUUGUUGGGGCCAACAGUCUUUGCUAGUGGUGUCCCCCGCUCCCUUUCUCUGGCAGCUGACUUGUUCGUGCCUCAUUCUUCUCCUAUGCACUGUCAGGAAGCAGCAAGGAAAGCCACAGAAACCCCCAAAACCGGACUACCAAGGCUUGUCAGGCGAUUUUCCCGAAGAUGUAAAAUAAAUGACAUUGUUCCCCUUUGGGAAAGAUUUUCCAAGCGUUCAUAGAGAAUUUUGUGAAGAGCUAGCAAAUGCUACCAUUGGGGGGGGGGGGGAAAUAAAACCAUUCCAGGGAAAGCCACACAAAAGCUGGAGUUAAUAAGUAAAAAGUGUCCAUAGACAUAAUUUUUACUGCUGCAGAUGCUUAAAACUGACAGGAAGAAGCAAACCCCCUCUCCCACCAUCAGUAGUUCCUGUCAAGUGUGACCUGUGACUGUCUUCCAGCCGCCCAGGGCAUUUCUGGUGGCCAGGAAAAGCUCCGGCUAUGAACAAUAUAUUUUUCAACCUCCUCGCGAUGUGAAAAACUGGCUUUUUAAGCUUUUCUGAACACCUGCGGGGUGGUGUCCCUCACAAAGAUGUCAAACGCAAAGAAUGAAUGAGAGGAAAGAAGCCCCCAAACCAGUCGCUUGAGUUUCGACAACUCAAAACGCAAUUCUUUGCCAAGAAUUCAACUACUUCAGGCCCGGCAGUUGAUUAAGAUGGUGUUUCUGUGCAUAGACGGGGCCAACAGUCUCUUGGCAAAGAUUUAUAUUCCAUAAUCUAAAGUUAAAUAUAGUUGAACAGAGUUGAACUAAGUCUUGAUUCUGUGUCUGGUAGCUACCUUCUAGAGGCAGAAACAUCUGCAGCAGAUUUAGCCUGGAGGCAGGGAAAGAGACGUACAAUAACUCAGAAAGAGCUUUUCAGUUCUGGGAUGGUGCACUUUACAGAGAAAGCUAUAAAAAGAGAAGCUUAGGACCAAACAUGGUCUUGGAGAGAUCUAAAGUGGACUACUUGUUUACUGAGAUCUGAAAGGUGAUAACGAUGUCGUAAGAAAGACCCCAGAAAACAGCAAAUUGAAUAAAAU